AUUGAACGCUGGCGGCAGGCUUAACACAUGCAAGUCGAGCGGGGUGAUGGUGCUUGCACUAUCACUUAGCGGCGGACGGGUGAGUAAUGCUUAGGAAUCUGCCUAUUAGUGGGGGACAACAUCUCGAAAGGGAUGCUAAUACCGCAUACGUCCUACGGGAGAAAGCAGGGGAUCACUUGUGACCUUGCGCUAAUAGACGAGCCUAAGUCGGAUUAGCUAGUUGGUGGGGUAAAGGCCUACCAAGGCGACGAUCUGGAGCGGGUCUGAGAGGAUGAUGCGCCACACUGGGACUGAGACACGGCCCAGAAUCCUACGGGGGGCAGCAGUGGGGAAUAUUGGACAAUGGGGGGAACCCUGAUCCAGCCAUGCCGCGUGUGUGAAGAAGGCCUUAUGGUUGUAAAGCACUUUAAGCGAGGAGGAGGCUCUUUUGGUUAAUACCCAAGAUGAGUGGACGUUACUCGCAGAAUAAGCACCGGCUAACUCUGUGCCAGCAGCCGCAGUAA
RNAcentral lists this ribosomal RNA (503 nucleotides) under uncultured bacterium. RNAcentral describes it as "partial 16S ribosomal RNA". It matches the Rfam family "Bacterial small subunit ribosomal RNA", at positions 30 to 523 of the family's 1533-position model. The record is from RNAcentral.